Molecule: long non-coding RNA, 5422 nt
Organism: Felis catus (domestic cat)
Lineage: Eukaryota; Metazoa; Chordata; Mammalia; Carnivora; Felidae
Exons: 2
Source: RefSeq, a predicted model, not a curated record
CUUCUAACACAAGAUGGCAUGUAGCGGUCAGUAAAGCCUCAGCCCAGUUCUGUGAGGAAUGAACACCUCUGGCAUGUACGACGUGGCUCACCGUGAUAGAACUUUCUUUCCAACAUGGCUCCUCCGGUGUUGAACAAGUCUCAAAGUAGAGUCCGUCAGUGAUGGCCAAAUGACGUCGCGGUCAGUGCCCCUAUCAGAUGAUCGUCAGUGAAGCUGGACCAAGUCUGCAGGUUCACGCGCCCAGAAGAGAACACUCACCUGUGCCCGGUAAGGCCCGUGAUCCCAGAGAUUCAUGCUUGAGCAGAGCCCUCACCGGCUGGAACUGGGCACUCCGUGAUCCGCGGGAAGGUGCCAGUGCUGCCAUCUCGCAACAGACAAGCUCUUGGCCCUGGUCACCACCUGGGACCUAGAGGUUAUUCAUUCCUUUUCAUUAUUUGUCAGACAUUUCUGGAGCACUUCCCAUGUGCCUCACAGUUUCCAGGGGCACGAAAAACAUUAACUCAGGUAACACAGACAACAACCUUGAGGUGGGUACCGUUACCGUGAUCAUUUCACCGAUGAGGAAGCGAAGGCACACAGAGCGUAAGCAGUUUUCCCAAGGUCGCCCAGCUAAUAAGUGGCGGUGCUAGGACGGGCGCUCAGGCAGAGGGACCCCAGAGCCCGUGCUCUUUGCCAUUACCAGGUGCUCCCACGUUGUAUACGUUGUGCUUUUACAAAGACUUUUGGGAACCGGUGCUGCCUCUCAAAAUACUCCUAUCUUAUCUGACAGGUGAGGUUAAUAAUUUCUCGUUUAUAGGGUUUUGUUACUGGUUUUGAGAACCAAGAAAGAAGAUCACAGAAGGUGAAAUCACCUAACGCAGGACACACGGUCUAUCCCCACUAAAAGGUGGCUUCCACGCAUUUAUGGGCAAAUUGCACUUGUCAAGUUUCUUUCUCACGUGCAGCUCAGAACUCCCCACAUCUUCUGUAACGACUGAGGAGGCUGAAGCCAAGAGACUUGAAACGCCUUCACUGUGAAGGGCUCGCGGGCAGUGGGCCCCAGUGCAGACCCGGAUCUCCUGGUCAGUGGUCAGCAGGCUCUGGCUGCAGUCCCCUGAAGGAACAUUAACUGGUGCACAGAGGACACCACCUUACAACAGACUGGCAAAGCAAGAAGAGGUGGGGAGAUCAACCUGUUUUCCACCAGGGGGGUUCUCUAGCCUGGGGUCCUUGGACUCCUCCCAUGUGGUCCAUGAACUUGGAAUAGGAAAGGAGUAGUUUUAUUGUUACCAGCCUCUAAGGGAACGUGGCCUUUCCUUCUAUUAUAAAUUGAAGCAGCGAUCAUGUGGCAUCAGCCACGGCACUUCGCCACCAAUAGAAAUUGCAGAUGUUUUGGGGCGCCUGGGUGGCUCAGUUCGAGCCCCGCAUCGGGGUCUGUUCUGACACCUUAGAGCCUGGAUGGAGGCUGCCUUGGAUUCUGUGUCUCCCUCUCUCUCUCUGCCCCUUCCCCGCUCAUGCUCUCUCUCAAAAAUAAACACUUAAAAUUUUUUAAAAAGAAAAAUUGCAGGUGUUUUCACACCACAUUACGGCACAACGAACAGUGUCAAAGUCACUCAUGCUUCUAACGACUUUGAAACUGCACCCGGGCUAUUGGGCCUGUGCCCAGGUCUUACUGAUUAGUGCAAGAAUCUUAAAAAGCGCACGCAUAAUGUUGUCACUAAUUCGUUUAAUGCAUUGCUGGCUGUAUUUCAACAUAAUCGAGUUCUUCUGUGAUCCUUCAUGUAUCUAAAACUUCUGUUACGAGGAGGGGCCCAGGGACUCCACCCGAGUGGCAGAGAGAGAGAGAGAGAGAGAGAGAGAGAGAGAGAGAGAGAGAGAGAGAGAGAGAGAGAGAGAGAGAGAGAGGGAGAGACAGGGAGAGACAGGGAGAGAGAGAGAGAGACGGAGGGAGAAGUUCCGAUGUUGACGGCACGCCCCGCCCUCGGCCCGAGACUUGGGUUAGAAACCGGGCUCGGGGCCUCUACCUGCGGUGUCGGCGCCUCCAGCUGUCUCUGCAGGUGCUCCAGGAGCACCACCACCUCGUCCCCGCUCUCCGGGUGCUGUCCCCGCACCCAGGCCUGGAGCUCGGCGGGCAGGAUGGUCAGGAACUGCUCCAGCACCAGCAGCUCCAGGAUCUGCUCCUUGGUGUGUGUUUCUGGGCUCAGCCACUGGCGGCACAGCUCGCGGAGCCGGCGCAGCGCCUCGCGGGGCCCCUCGGCCUCAGGGUAGCGGAAGCCCCGGAAGCGCCGGCGCGAGCGCUCGGGGCCGGGGGCCGGGCUGCCGGGCGCGGCCGUGGGGACGUCCUCCUCCUCCUCCUCCACCUUCACGGUCAGGAUGCCCGUCAGCAGCCCCGGCCGCUCCUCUGCAGUGCCGGCAUCCAAGGUCGCGCUCGCCUUCGACUCCCCGGCCAUCCCGGACCUGGCGCUGGCGGACGGCUGCGCUUCUCGGGGCGGUUCCUCUGGUGCGUAAGUCGCUCCCUCGGCCCCCCGCGGCCGGAGCCGUCCUCCGCGCCCGCCCCGGGCCACACAGCCAGUCUCUCCACACCGCCGGCCGGAAUCCGCGGGCGCCCUCGGCGCCGGAGGGCAGGAGCGCGGGGCCGGAAGCCGGGCCGAGCCACUUCCUGGGCCCUCUAGGACGCGUCUCUUGGUGGCGGCCCGUUAACCCUUCGGCUCUCGGGCCGCCGCCGGCGAGACCGCGAGAGAGGACGGGGGGGCUGUGGCUUAUGCUUGGCUGAAGCCGACGUCUCACGUUGCAGCGAACGCGGGCCCGCUGGGCCCUCAGAGUUCUGGCCUGAGGCCUUCCCCCGCGGCCGCGGACGUCACUGGGCCAGGCUGGGAGAGCAGCGGCUGCACCUGCGCCUGACCAGCUCCACCUCUCCUGCGAGGCCCGCCGGCGGGAAGGCCCUCCCCGCCUCUGCCUUCGUCCUCACUUCCAUGCAUCCUUAACACCUUGUCCGCGUGAACCGCCACCAGCGCCAUUGGGAUCCUUCCUGCAAAAGCAACCCGAGAUCCCCAACGGCCCCCACCAGUUACCACUUUCCAUUUUCUGUGGCCUCCCCUUGGGCAGCCAGGCUUGUGCUGCUCCCUGCUUCCAGCCACUCCCGUGUCUUUGGCCAGGGGACCCUGUUCACUCCUGGUCGCUCUCUUCUUGUUCCUUCCAGUUCCCAUUCACACUCUAGCACAGUGAAAGCUACACACUCUCAAGCCACAUUACCUGGGCUCCUAAUCCUGGCUUUAUUUACCAUUUACUAGCUGAGUGACCGCAGUUAACUAUAUAACCUCUCUGUGCCUGACUUUCUGAAUCUAUAACUGAGGAUAGUAAUAGUAGAUAGGGAUGUGAGCAGUGGGUGAGGUUUUUUAUGUAAAGCUCUUAGAAUAAUGGCUAACCUGUAAUAAGCUAGGCCUACCCUAAAACGGUAGGAAGCCCUGAAUUCCUUUGAGCCAAAGGAGGCUAGAUUUUAAGCCAGAAGUGACAGCAGUUAUUUUGCUGGACUGAGAUGUCAGUGAGUCUGCUUUCUACUCAGAAUGUAAGUUUGGUAGAUGUUUUUUAAGUGGAAAAAUAUCAUGGUAGUACCUUCCUGAGUUUUAAUUCCUCAGUCUAUCUCUUCUAUUAAUCUCCUAGCCUGGGCAUGAUUACCUGGUGGGCACACUCAGCUACCUCCACCCCUGCCCAGUCCUAGGGUCUGGCAGCUGCUCACCCCGGGGCCCCUGGUACUCAAGGGCAGCAGGUGCAACCACUUCUCCAGUCUUACAUUGGUUCCUGUGUAGUCUGGGGUGUGCAUUUGAAAGUAAAUGCCUUAUGCCUUUUGCUGUCAACUCUUAAAAAAGCCGUGUACCAGUGGACCCCUGCAGUUCAAACCCAUGUUGUUCAAGGGUCAGCUGUUCUUCAUUUAGUCCCAUUGCUCCUGCCUUUAUCAGGGUAAGAAACAUAGGUUGUAGUCAUAAUACAAGUGUUUGUUUCCUCUUCCCAACAUACAUUUCAGUAAUCUGGAGCAUAUCCAUGAGAUAACUCCUGUAAAAACACUGUAAAAUGUAAAUCAGAGCACUGUGUGGAAGUGCAAAUAUGAGCAGCUGGAGGGGACUGUCAGGUCGUGUAAGUGUCAUUAGUGAAUGACUGCUUUUGUUGCUUGGUGAGUAAAGGUGACCUGCAUAUUUGUAAAGGCCAUAAGCAAGUGUAAUUUGGAGGGAUGUUUAAUUCCAGGUUGUUCUCAGAGUUCUAUAUAACUUGUGUGUUAGGAAUUUCUUAGUAAUAAGUAUAGAUUGUGACAAACUAAUGUUAUAUGCUUACUGCUGAGAUACCAUAAGAAUUAUAUUCCACCCCUGUGAUCUGCCAAAGAGAAUUACCCUAAAUCUAAUCAUGAGGACAUUAUCAGAUAAAUUCAAACUGUCGGACAUUUUACAACACAAUCACCCUGGACUCAGCAAAACUGUGUCAAGUAAUAUUUAAAAGUGGAUGUAGAAGUGUAGGUAGAAAAACUAUUCUAGAUUAAACAGACUAAUAAGUAAUCACAAUCAAAUGCAUUUAAGGAAACUUGACUGAAUUUUAAUCCCAUUUUAAAGACAUUAUUGAGGGGUGCUUGGGUGGCUUGGUCGGUUAAGCGUCUCACUUCGGCUCAGGUUAUGAUCUCCCGGUUUGUGGGUUGAAGCCCCACAGUGGAGCUGGAGCCUGCUUUGGAUUCUGUGUCUCAGACUCUGUGCCCUCCCCCAUUUUGCUCUGUUGGCUCUCUUUCUCUCAAAAAUAAAUAAACAUCAAAAAAAAUUUAAAGACAUUAUUGGAACAAUUGAGGAAUUUUGAACAUAUCCUGCAUAUUAGAUAACACUACCUAAUAUUUAAUGAUAAUAUUAAAUUUCUUUAGAAUAAUGAUGGCAUUGUGGUUGUGAAGGAGAAUGUCCUUCUUAGACAUUGAUUAGUGGAGUAUUUAUGGGUGAAGCAUCAUAAUGUCUAACUUUCAGUGAGUAAGAAACACAAUCUUAACAAUUAGUGAAUCUAGGUAAAGGAUAUGCCGGUGUUUAACUUUUCUGUAGGUUUGAAAGUUUUUUUUAAUAUUUGGGGGAAAUUUAUGUAAAACAAUUUUGAGAAAUUUUGAGAAAGAUCUUUCAAUACAUUUCUGUGCUCUAUCUGAAUGGAUAUUUGCUCAUCUAUAAGUAAAAUUAAGAAAAUAAGAGACUCUCACCACCAAAAGUUAUGGUAGGCAUUUAUUUUUAUUCCUAUUGUCAUAUUUUUUACACCACUGCUUUCUCUACUAAAUCAGAGGUCAACAAACUACUGCCUACAGACCAAAUUGUUCCCCUGGCUGUUUUUGUAUGGCCUUAGCAAGAAAUUCUAUAUUUUUAAAUUAUAGGGGAAAAAUCAGAAGAAGAAUAAAAGUUUGUGAUAUGUGAAAAUUAAAGAAAUUCAAAUUUCA